ACGGGUUAUAUAUUUAGUAGUUUUGUUUUCAUUUAGGGUCUGUUUGAUUGACGGAAUUGAUUUUCCGGAAAAUCAUUUUCAACUUUUCCGGUGUUUGUUUGGUUGAAAACAUUUUCUAUUUGGAAAAUCAGCUCCAAAACACGGGUAAAAUGCCUUACAAUUUAGGGAAAAUGUCUUCCCCUUUCAAUUUCCGUAAGACAGUUUACUGGCUUUCCUCUCUAUCGAUUUUUUCGGUCCCUCCUUCUUCAUUCCUUCAUUUCUGUUAGAAAACUUCCCUGAGAUUCUCAUAUUUUUCCAGUAACCCCCCCACUCUCCUCCUUCAUCCUUUCAUUCCUUCAUUCCUCUCUGUCGAUUAUCGCCGUAGUUUUCUGUGGGCUCGAACUCGUAUUGGAACCUAGACGAAUGGAUAUCGCAGCUGCUGCAGUGCAAGCCUUUGUCGGAGCAGUAGGUAACGGAUCUGUUUUGAAUUUCUUCAUUUGCGGUUUGAUCCAUUUUUUGUUUAGUAUUUUCUCUGUAUGGGGUCAGAUCUAUUUUUUUCCACCGAUCCAUUUUUUUUAGGAAGGAAAUUUCUUCAUUUUGCCACCGAUCCAUUUUUUGUUUAGUAUUUUCUCUAUAUGGGGUCAGAUAUUUUAUCGAAGACUUGUAAUAAUAUUCAAUGAGAUAAUUCUUUUGACAUGUGUUGUCCUAGUUUUGUUAUUCUAUUACAGUAAUUAAUUACAAGACAUGGACUGAAAUUGAUUUUCCUCUUACACCAUUUUCGAGUGCCUAGUAUCCUUCUAUCUGAAUUUCCCUUUUCAAAUGUAGGUGUUUUUGUUUAUUUUCUUUACCCCACACAUAUAGAUACGAGAUUAUGAUCCUCCAAAUCCUUCAAAUUGUAAGGGAAAAUGAAACAGUGAUAAGAUAUUUGUUAAAUUAUGUUUUUGUUCCACUUGCUUUCACUGAUAUUGAUUCGUUUGUUUGUUCGUUUGUUUGAAAAUCUGUUGCUUGUUUUCACUGAUAUUGAUCCAUUUUGUUCGUUCAUUUUCUCGUAUGCUAACCAUAUUUAAUUGACUAAAGAAUUGGUUUUUGAGACUAAAAAUUAAUAGCCUCAAAAUGUUCUUAGAGGGUAGAAAUGUUCUGAAUUUCUCGACAAGUUUGGCGAAGUCUAUGGGUAUCAGUUACCCUUUUUGUUGCGUUUGGUCACGCUUAGGCUUCUCACAAUAGGAAGUUUUACACAAGCCUUAUUUGUCUAACUCCUGAAUAAUAGAACGCUCUCUGUUAAAGAGCGAGAAGCUGUAAUUUGAGUUGUGAUAAAUCAAUUUCUUGCUUGCUGGAUUGAUCUUAUUUGGACAGUUAUUUUAGUGUAGUCAAGCACCAUAUUUAGGAGUCAAUGGCAAUACUGAGCUUGCAAAAGCCAACUUUCAUUGAGGCACAUGCAUUUUGUGUAGGCAUAGGUUCUUGCUGACACGGUUCUAAUUUCUUUCUAUGCUUGACCUCCAGCUAUACAAUUCUUGCUGUCCUAACCUCUACCUCAGCAUUUUUACUCCUGUUAGUGGCCUUGGUUGAUAGUUUCAUAAGAGGUUAGUGUUAAGCAUAUUUGGAAUGUCUUAUUUCUUGAUUCUGGUCUGCUAAUGGCAUGGCAUUUGUGGUUGUUAUAUGUUUGUGGUGCUUGAUAUAUGAUUUGGUAUAAUAUGCAUUUGUGGUUGUUAUAAUUCAGUUCAAGUGAAUUAAGCAUGGUUGUUGGAUGUGUUUGGGUAUGGUUUAUUAUUGAUUUAUUUUUACUGUAAUUUGUUUAUGUAUUAUUUGCAAAAUGGCAGUGAUGAACUAUUAUAUUUGGUUGAUGGUAGGUAAAUACAUAUGUGCCUACGUCAUGAAUUUUGGUAAUUUUGGCAUGAUUUAUAGCAUAUGGCAUCCGAAUGUAGACUGAUUUUCAAGUGAGCAAUGUAUGAUUAAUGUAUGAAUUGGCAUAUGUGCCUUUCUCUGGUUAGCACUUACUGAUCUGUUAGUAUUUGUUAACACUUAAUGAUCUGUUAGUAUUUGAUGCUAGAGAAAAGGGGUGAUGAAUGUUCAUUUGAUAUCUAGCAUAUUUGACUACAAAGGAAGGUCUUUAAGUAACAUCGAUGCCUCUGUUUCAUCAGAAUGAGCUCUUUGGCUUUUGUUUCAUCAGAAUGUUCAUUCGAUAUCUGGAAUUUGAGUCUGCCAUCCCCAUAUGGCUUUUGCCAACUUCCUUUGUUCAAUCUGUUUCAGUUUUUUGAGAAUAUUCUUAAUUAAAAAUUUGAAUGCUAAAGUUUGGUUUCAGUUAAUCAGAUGUUUUACACACAUUAAAAAGGUCUUGGAUUUUUCUUUUCGUUGAUAUUGUUAUAAACAGUUAAAUAACACUUUUCAUGCUUUGUGGUAACAAAAUCAUGCUGGACAUUUGAGUAAGUGGAGGCAUUUGCUUUUUUCAUGCUGAAAAUGG
RNAcentral lists this long non-coding RNA (2437 nucleotides) under Gossypium barbadense (sea-island cotton). RNAcentral describes it as "long non-coding RNA (GBAR_LNC021024)". The record is from RNAcentral. Lineage: Eukaryota; Viridiplantae; Streptophyta; Magnoliopsida; Malvales; Malvaceae.